GGGCCCGCACAAGCGGUGGAGCAUGUGGUUUAAUUCGAUGAUACGCGAGGAACCUUACCAGGGCUUAAAUGGGAAAUGACAGGGGCAGAGACGCCCCCUUCUUCGGACAUCUUUCAAGGUGCUGCAUGGUUGUCGUCAGCUCGUGCCGUGAGGUGUCAGGUUAAGUCCUAUAACGAGCGCAACCCCUACCGUUAGUUGCCAGCGAUUCAAGUCGGGGACUCUAACGGGACUGCCGGUGCAAACCGUGAGGAAGGUGGGGACGACGUCAAAUCAUCACGGCCCUUACGUCCUGGGCUACACACGUGUUACAAUGGACAGUACAGAAAGUUGCAAUUCCGCGAGGAGGAGCCAAUCUUUAAAACUGUCCCCAGUUCAGAUUGAAGUCUGAAAUUCGACUUCAUG
This 402-nucleotide ribosomal RNA is filed under the name uncultured bacterium. RNAcentral describes it as "bacterial SSU rRNA". It matches the Rfam family "Bacterial small subunit ribosomal RNA", at positions 917 to 1322 of the family's 1533-position model. The record is from RNAcentral.